UUGCGCAAUGGGCGAAACCUGACGCAGCGACGCCGCGUGGGGGAUGAAGGCCCUCGGGUUGUAAACCCCUUUCGGCAGGGACGAAGCGAUCGUGACGGUACCUGCAGAAGAAGCCUCGGCUAACUACGUGCCAGCAGCCGCGGUAAGACGUAGGAGGCGAGCGUUGCCCGGAUUCAUUGGGCGUAAAGAGCGCGCAGGGGGGCUCGGUCAGUCGGAUGURAAAACCCGGGGCUCAACCCCGGGCAUGCAUCCGGAUACUGCCGGGCUAGAGGUAGGUAGGGGAGACCGGAAUUCCUGGUGUAGCGGUGAAAUGCGCAGAUAUCAGGAGGAACACCGGUGSCGAAGCCGGAUCUCUGGGCCUUACCUGCACGCUCAGGCGCGAAACCCAGGGGAGCGAACAGGAUUAGAUACCCUGGUAGUCCUAGCCGUAAACGUUGGGUGCUAGGUGUGGGCGCAUAUCGACCCGUCCGUGCCGAAGCUAACGCAUUAAGCACCCCGCCUGGGGAGUACGSSCGCAAGGCUAAAACUCAAAGGAAUUGACGGGGSCCCGCACAAGCGGCGGAGCAUGCGGCUUAAUUCGAUGCGACGCGAAGAACCUUACCUGGGUUUGACAUGCAGGGUGAAACCCGUGAAAGCGGGCGCUCUUCGGAGCCUGCACAGGUGGUGCAUGGCUGUCGUCAGCUCGUGCCGUGAGGUGUUGCCUUAAGUGCCSRACGAGCSGCAACCCCUCUCCUUAGUUGCCAGCGGAUCAUGCCGGGAAUUCUAGGGAUACUGCCGGUGCCAAACCGGAGGAAGGUGGGGAUGACGUCAAGUCAUCAUGUAUAUUAAGCCCAGGGCUGCACGCAUGCUACAAUGCGCGAUACAGAGGGCUGCGAUCCCGUGAGGGGGAGCGAAUCCCACAAAUUCGCGCUCAGUUCGGAUCGAGGUCUGCAACCCGACCUCGUGAAGUCGGAGUCGCU
This 959-nucleotide ribosomal RNA is filed under the name uncultured Actinomycetes bacterium. RNAcentral's name for it is "bacterial SSU rRNA". It matches the Rfam family "Bacterial small subunit ribosomal RNA", at positions 364 to 1336 of the family's 1533-position model. The record is from RNAcentral. Lineage: Bacteria; Bacillati; Actinomycetota; Actinomycetes.